Molecule: ribosomal RNA, 1140 nt
Filed under: Heliophilum fasciatum
Lineage: Bacteria; Bacillati; Bacillota; Clostridia; Eubacteriales; Heliobacteriaceae
Description: partial 23S ribosomal RNA
Rfam family: Bacterial large subunit ribosomal RNA
Source: RNAcentral
UUUGGUCAAGAUAUCAAGGGCAUACGGUGGAUGCCUAGGCGCUGAGAGGCGAAGAAGGGCGCGGUAAGCUGCGAAAAGCCACGGAGAGCCGCAAGCAGGCGUUGACCCGUGGGUACCCGAAUGGGGCAACCCUCUUGGAGUUAUAUCCAAGAAACGUACACUGAAUCCAUAGGUGUACGUGGCCAACCCGGGGAACUGAAACAUCUAAGUACCCGGAGGAAAAGAAAUCAACCGAGAUUCCCCCAGUAGCGGCGAGCGAACGGGGAAAAGCCUAAACCGACCCCUCGGGGUCGGGGUUGCGGGACCUCUUGUUAGAUUCAAUGAUGUAACCGAAGCGGACUGGAACGUCCCGGCAGAGCGGGUAACACCCCCGUAGGUGAAACAUCGGCGAAUCGUAGAGGUAUCCCAAGUACCGCGGGGCACGUGAAAUCCCGUGGGAAUCCGGGGGGACCACCCUCCAAGGCUAAAUACUCCUCAGCGACCGAUAGUGAACAAGUACCGUGAGGGAAAGGUGAAAAGCACCCCGGAAGGGGAGUGAAAUAGAACCUGAACCCGUAUGCUUACAAGCAGUCAGAGCAUCUUUAUGGUGUGAUGGCGUGCCUUUUGUAGAAUGAACUGGCGAGUUGCGGUCACGAGCAAGGUUAAGGCGAGAAGCCGGAGCCAAAGCGAAAGCGAGUCUGAAUAGGGCGAUUUAAGUUCGUGGCUGCAGACCCGAAACCGGGUGAUCUACCCAUGUCCAGGGUGAAGCGGCGGUAAAACGUCGUGGAGGCCCGAACCGACCAACGUUGAAAAGUUGGCGGAUGAGGUGUGGGUAGGGGAGAAAUUCCAAUCGAACUCGGAGAUAGCUGGUUCUCCCCGAAAUAGCUUUAGGGCUAGCCUCGGGGGAAGAAUAUCGGAGGUAAAGCGCUGAUAGGGCUAGGGGUCUUACCGGAUUACCGAACCCUGUCAAACUGGGAAUGCCGAUAUUUAUCCCCGGGAGUCAGACGGCGAGUGCUAAGAUCCGUCGUCAAAAGGGAAACAGCCCAGACCGGCAGCUAAGGUCCCUAAGUGUGUGUUCAGUGGAAAACGAUGUGGCGUUGCCCAGACAACCAGGAUGUUGGCUUAGAAGCAGCCACCAUUGAAAGAGUGCGUAAUAGCUCA